CCUACGGGGGGCUGCAGUGGGGAAUUUUGGACAAUGGGGGCAACCCUGAUCCAGCCAUUCCGCGUGAGUGAAGAAGGCCUUCGGGUUGUAAAGCUCUUUCGGCCGGGAAGAAAUCGCAUCUCCUAAUACGGGGUGUGGAUGACGGUACCGGAAGAAGAAGCACCGGCUAACUACGUGCCAGCAGCCGCGGUAAUACGUAGGGUACGAGCGUUAAUCGGAAUUACCGGGCGUGGCGCAUGAGCACAGAUGUGAAAUCCCCGGGCUUAAGCUGGGAACUGCGUUUGUGACUGGUGGGCUUGAGUGCGGCAGAGGGGGGUGGAAUUCCACGUGUAGCAGUGAAAUGCGUAGAGAUGUGGAGGAACACCGAUGGCGAAGGCAGCCCCCUGGGUCGACACUGACGCUAAUGCACGAAAGCGUGGGGAGCAAACAGGAUUAGAUACCCCGGUAGUC
This 450-nucleotide ribosomal RNA is filed under the name uncultured bacterium. RNAcentral describes it as "partial 16S ribosomal RNA". It matches the Rfam family "Bacterial small subunit ribosomal RNA", at positions 338 to 795 of the family's 1533-position model. The record is from RNAcentral.